CCCCCCACGAAAUCACAUUUUGUCCCCCCAGAAAAAGUCCCUUUUUCCUAAAUUUAUACAAACAAACCAGCGAAGAAUAACAAAUACGCAAACAGAAAGUAAGUUUUAGGCUUUAUCUUUUGUUUUUUGGGCGUUUUUCCUUCUUUUAUUUCAAUUACAAUUUACAAGUAUAGCUAGCGUAAAUUUUAGAGCAAAUUUGGAUGCUCAGAAUGCAGGAAAUGGCAUUUCCGGGCUUAAAAUAGGCUUCAAAUGUCAAAAAUUUUCUGCGUCAGUGGUAUGCCCCCACACACAUAGCCUUCGGCCAUUGCUAUCCCCUUCUAAUAAGUAAUGAUAAAUUAUGGUUAAUAUUUUUUUAAACCUUUUGUUCGUUUUUCUACUUCUUUUAUUUUAAAUACAAGUAUACGAUUAGCAUAAAUUUUAGAGCAAAUUUGGACGCUCGAAAUGCAGGAAAUUGCAUUUCCGGGCUUCAAAUUUCAAAAAUUUUCUGGGGGAGUAUGCCCCCAGACCCCCAUUCAUGCAUGGUAUGUCGGCCACACACAUGGCCUUCCGCCAUUGCUAUACCCCUAAUUAAUAUAUUAUCUCACAGAAAGGUCCCUUUUCAAGAAAUGCCCUGCUUGCGUCCUUCCUCCGCCCCGCCCCCAAAUCACCUAGUUCCAGUCUUUUCAUGUGAAAAAGCGCUGAAUAUUAAAAAUAUAUAAAUAAAAAUAGAAGGCCUAGGUCUAGGCUGGGCCGUUGAGAAAGAUCGUGAC
Paramuricea clavata is the source of this 749-nucleotide non-coding RNA. The record is from the annotation of a GenBank genome assembly. Lineage: Eukaryota; Metazoa; Cnidaria; Anthozoa; Malacalcyonacea; Plexauridae.